This 240-nucleotide non-coding RNA is filed under the name Novilysobacter defluvii. Lineage: Bacteria; Pseudomonadati; Pseudomonadota; Gammaproteobacteria; Lysobacterales; Lysobacteraceae. RNAcentral also lists the same sequence under 1 other name. The record is from RNAcentral.
ACACUUGCCGCGCUUCGAGGUGACCCUGCGGCGUCCUGCCGCCGGGUUGAAACGGGAAGCCGGUGACGCCGCCGACGCGGCCAUUCCGGCACUGCCCCCGCAACGGUAAGCAGGCGGCCUGCAGAUGCAGGCCCGGCCGCGGCCACCGCCACUGUGCCCAAGUGCAUGGGAAGGCGCCGCGGACGCGUCGCACCCGCGACGACUGCGAGUCCGGAGACCGGCCCCGGAGCCGACUGGUUG